UACGUAGGGACCAAGCGUUGUUCGGAUUUACUGGGCGUAAAGGGCGCGUAGGCGGCGUGGUAAGUCACUUGUGAAAUCUCUGAGCUUAACUCAGAACGGCCAAGUGAUACUGCUGUGCUAGAGUGCAGAAGGGGCAAUCGGAAUUCUUGGUGUAGCGGUGAAAUGCGUAGAUAUCAAGAGGAACACCUGAGGUGAAGACGGGUUGCUGGGCUGACACGUGACGCUGGAUGCGCGAAAGCCAGGGGAGCAAACGGG
This 255-nucleotide ribosomal RNA is filed under the name uncultured bacterium. RNAcentral describes it as "partial 16S ribosomal RNA". It matches the Rfam family "Bacterial small subunit ribosomal RNA", at positions 524 to 776 of the family's 1533-position model. The record is from RNAcentral.